RNAcentral lists this ribosomal RNA (253 nucleotides) under uncultured bacterium. RNAcentral's name for it is "partial 16S ribosomal RNA". It matches the Rfam family "Bacterial small subunit ribosomal RNA", at positions 524 to 776 of the family's 1533-position model. The record is from RNAcentral.
GACGAACCGUGCGAAUGUUGUUCGGAAUCACUGGGCUUAAAGGGCGCGUAGGCGGGCGACCAAGUCAGGGGUGAAAUCCCACGGCUCAACCGUGGAAGUGCCUUUGAUACUGGUGGUCUCGAGGGAGGUAGGGGCGUGCGGAACUUCCGGUGGAGCGGUGAAAUGCGUAGAUAUCGGAAGGAACGCCGGUGGCGAAAGCGGCGCGCUGGACCUCUUCUGACGCUGAGGCGCGAAAGCUAGGGGAGCAAACGGG